GGGGAGUAUGGUUGCAAGGCUGAAACUUCAAGGAAUUGACGGAAGGGCACCACCAGGAGUGGAGCCUGCAGCUUAAUUUGACUAAACAGGGGGAAACUUACCAGGUUCAUACAUAGUAAGGAUUGACAGACUGAGAGCCCUUUCUUGAGUCUAUGGGAGGUGGUGCAUGGCCAUUCUUAGUUGGUGGAGCGAUUUGUCUGGUUAAUUCCGUUAACGAACGAGACCUCAGCCUGCUAACUAGCUACGUGGAGGUAUCCUCGACGGCCAGCUUCUUAGAGGGGCUAUGGCCGUUUAGGCCAUGGAAGUUUGAGGCAAUAACAGGUCUGUGAAAUUUCUGGGCCGCACACGUGCUACACUGAUGUAUUCAACGAGUAUAUGGCCUUGGCCGACAGGCCUUGAUAAUCUGUCGAAAUUUCAUCGUGAUGGGGAUAGAUCAUUGCAAUUGUUGGUCUUCAACGAGGAAUUCCUAGUAAGCGCGAGUCAUCAGCUCGCGUUGACUACAUCCCUGCCCUGUCGCUCCUACGAAUUGAAUGGUCCGGUGAAGUGUUCGGAUCGCGGCGAUAGAGGCGGUCCGCCGCUGGCGACAUCGCGAGAAGUCCAUUGAACCUUAUCAUUUAGAGGAAGGAGAAGUCGUAACAAGGUUUUCGUAAGUGAACCUGCGAAAG
This 665-nucleotide non-coding RNA is filed under the name Amborella trichopoda. RNAcentral describes it as "rRNA SSU_rRNA_eukarya". It matches the Rfam family "Eukaryotic small subunit ribosomal RNA", at positions 1118 to 1823 of the family's 1831-position model. Lineage: Eukaryota; Viridiplantae; Streptophyta; Magnoliopsida; Amborellales; Amborellaceae. The record is from Rfam by way of RNAcentral.